RNAcentral lists this long non-coding RNA (2182 nucleotides) under Salmo salar (Atlantic salmon). RNAcentral's name for it is "lncRNA (ENSSSAG00000101045.1)". Lineage: Eukaryota; Metazoa; Chordata; Actinopteri; Salmoniformes; Salmonidae. The record is from RNAcentral.
UGUAUAUAUUGUGUUUUGGAAUGAAAUUCUUCAUUUUAAACGUCUUUAUGCUCUUUUGAAACUUUUGUGUGUGUAAUGUUUACUGUUACUGUCUGUUUAUUUAACUUGCUCUGGGAAUGUAAACAUGUGUCCCACGCCAUUAAAGGCCUUUAGAAUGAAAUGUCUGCAGCAUUGUCGGCUCUCUGUUCAACUGCGUGUUUCUGGCGCCACCUGCUGGCUGUUUAGGAGAAGACACGCUGGGAUCCGACAUUGCCGCUUGUGUAACUGUCAUUGGAUGGGAUUUUGAAUGUUAAUGCCUGACUGGGUACAUACACUGUCCAUCAAAUGAAACCGGAAGAAAGGUUACAUAUCGAAACAAUUUGUAAGGAAGGAUAGUGGUGUGUCCUUACCGAGCUGUUACGCCAUGCCAACUUCCCCGGUAAAGACACGGAUCCCGCUCACGAGCUUCGGUCAUCUGAUCACCGAGGUGAAGAGACAGUUGUUUGGUAUGGAGGCUCCAGCUACUGUUAACCUGACUGGCUGGAGGAGACAUUUCAACAGCUACACACUACAGGGCCGACGCAACUUUGUCCUGGCUACCUAUGGUGUCCUAGCGUUGUCAGCAGCAGCCUAUAUGAUACACAAACGGAGUAAAGAGGACCCCAGAGUAGCCAGCCCCACUGCCUGACUGACACCCUCUCUCAAUGUUCAAUGUCCAAUGUCCAACGCUUUAUUGACCUGAUAUUCACAUUGUUUUCCAAUACUACCAAAUCAGAGAUUCAUAACAGCAGCGCUCUCUCUCUCUUCCGCUCCCUCCCUCUCUUCCGCUCCCUCCCCUCCCUCUCUCUCUCACUCUCUCCCUCCCUCUUCCGCUCCCUCCCUCUCUCCCUCCCUCUUCCGCUCCCUCCCUCCCCUCCCUCUCUCUCACUCUCACUCUCUCCCUCUCUCUUCCGCUCCCUCCCUCUCUUCCGCUCCCUCCCUCUCACUCUCACUCUCUCCCUCCCUCUUCCGCUCCCUCCCUCUUCCGCUCCCUCCCUCUUCCGCUCCCUCCCUCUUCCGCUCCCUCCCUCUUCCGCUCCCUCCCUCCCCUCCCUCUCUCUCACUCUCACUCUCUCCCUCUCUCUACCGCUCCCUCCCUCUCUUCCGCUCCCUCCCUCUCACUCUCACUCUCUCCCUCCCUCUUCCGCUCCCUCCCUCUUCCGCUCCCUCCCUCUUCCGCUCCCUCCCUCUUCCGCUCCCUCCCUCUUUUCCGCUCCCUCCCUCUCUUCCGCUCCCUCCCUCCCUUUCUCUCUCGCUCUCUCUCUCUCUCGCUCUCUCUCUCAAUGUUAAUAAAUAGAAUUUAAUCCAGUCACGAUGUCUCUGUGUCGUCUUGGUUUAAUCUCUAACCCAGAAUAGAACGGAGCAGAAUCCAUCCUGGCAUUCAGACUAACCGGUAACCAUGACAACACACUACUGGGAGCUCCAGGCUGCAGCGUGUAUGUCUGGCCACGGGGUGGCGCUGUGGAGAGAGAGGGGGAGAGAGAGAAUGUACUACAUAAACUGGGUGGUUCGAGUGCUGAUUGGCUGAAAGCCGUGGUAUAUCAGAUCGUUUACCACGGGUAUGACAAAACAUUUUAUUUUUACUGCUCUAAUUACGUUGGUAACCAGUUUAUAAAAGCACUAAGGCACCUCGGGGGUUUGUGGUAUAUGGCCAAUAUACCCCAGGCUCUCCGCUUUGCGUCGUGCCUAAGAUCAGUCUUUGGUAUAUUGGCCAUAUGCCACGUCCCCUCUGGCCUUAUUGCUUAAAUAUGCAGCCUUACUGUAUGUAGCCUACCUUUCUGGUUAUAUAUGGUCUCUAUGGAAACAAGGGCCUGUCGCGCCAAAUAGUGUCCCCCUCUACGUCACAAUGGGAUUGGAUAAACUAUUAGCGUCCGUUGCUAUAUCAACGGUGUGAUGACCUAAUAAUUAGAAUUUUGGAGAUCAUUACAGCCUAAAUGACGUUCUUUUCAUCAUCGCUAUGCAAACAAGGCUGAUUUCCACUACAAUUUUGCUGUUUAAACAAGUUUUGUUUAGCUAAUAAAAUGAAAACAUUAAUUCAAACUAUUUCUUUGGUACCUUGUUAACAUUUCAACAUGAAAUCCAUGUCUUAAACGUUGCUACGUUUCGUAAAUGGCAAAGAAAACGUGUAAUCUGCUUGACACAUUAAAGUUACUUACCCUACAGA